This 229-nucleotide ribosomal RNA is filed under the name uncultured bacterium. Its description in RNAcentral is "partial 16S ribosomal RNA". It matches the Rfam family "Bacterial small subunit ribosomal RNA", at positions 568 to 796 of the family's 1533-position model. The record is from RNAcentral.
UGCGUAGGCGGGCUAAUAAGUCAGUGGUGAAAUCUUCCGGCUCAACCGGGAACCUGCCAUUGAUACUGUUAGUCUUGAGUUCGGCUGAGGUAGGCGGAAUGUGUAAUGUAGCGGUGAAAUGCUUAGAUAUUACACAGAACACCAAUUGCGUAGGCAGCUUACUAGACCGACACUGACGCUGAGGCACGAAAGCGUGGGGAGCGAACAGGAUUAGAUACCCUGGUAGCCC